This is a long non-coding RNA of Numida meleagris (helmeted guineafowl), 12955 nucleotides long. RefSeq lists it as uncharacterized. The transcript has 26 exons. NCBI's taxonomy places the organism in Eukaryota, Metazoa, Chordata, Aves, Galliformes, Numididae. The record is from RefSeq and is a predicted model, not a curated record.
UCACAGCAGCCGGUCUGGCUUGCCCCAGCUCUACAUCCCAGAGAAAUCCCCAUACCCAGUCCAAACUGCGGCUCAUGACACUUCCUCCAGCCCCACCACUUCCAGGAUCGGGAGUCAGGAGCAGCAGCUCUCAAGGUCUCUAACAUCACAGAUGCACCCACUCUGUUUUGGAUACAGAAACAGACUGCCUGCCCUGUAUCCCGUUAUUAUCUAGUGCUUGGAGGCAGAGUGGUAAAAUGAGCUCGCUAUUUAGGAGGUGUUGCAAAUCUAUGGCUUUGAGAGACGUCUUUGUCUCAGGACCUGGUCCAUACAACAGUGAAGACCUUUCUGUGCUUAGCUGGGGCUGUAAGGAGUUUGGAGUGAAUAGCAAACUUCUACAAUGUGGUGGCUGAUAUGAAUGUGUCAGGUCAGCCAUGAUGACUCUUGCAUGGAAAAUGAGGAUUUAUCUGCAUGUCCCAUGGGCAUGAGGGCAGUGGGACCCAUGGCAUCAGACCCUUUGGCCUCUGGUACUUCCUCACUCUCAGGGAAGCUGAGUCCUGGGUGAGCUGUUGAUGAACGUGGGAACAAGCACUACUCUCCCUCUGAGACUGGAAAGGAAAUCACAACUAGACUUAACCUGCCAACUGUUGGAGUUCAUUGCAAGGGUGGGACUGGGAGAAGUGACUCGGAACUGCUUGCUCCUAGUGAAAGCCAAAGGUUUCCAGGAAUGAAGAUGCAAACGUGGUGUCUCAUUGGAUUUGGCCCGAACAGCUUUUCCUUUCCAAGAUAAUAGAUAUAUGGUUGGAUUCUCAGCUGAUGGGAAGCAACGCUGAUUCAUAGCAGCUGAAGACAGAGCCCCUUGUGUUUUGUCUUGUCUUCUCAUCUCAUUGAACUUCCCAAGGAUCUAAAUGAAUUGUGUCCAAGGAAGGGCAAUGAAGCCGUGAAGGGUCUGGAGCACAAGUCUUAAGGGGAGCGGCUGAGUGAACUGGGAUGGUUCAAUCUGGAGAAGAGGAGGCUCAGGGGAGACCUUGCUGCUCUCUGCAACUGCCUGAAAGGAGGCUGUGGAGAGCUGAGGAUUGGACUCUUUUCCCAGCUCUACUUACUCCAAGAUAAGAACAGUAACGUGGGCCGUGGGAAGCAAUGUGCUGGAGUGAGCUGUAUGCCAUGGAGAGCUGAGGCACAGGGAGGAGUAGGUGUGGACCAAAAGGCUCUGCCCUGAAUGAAGUCAGAGCCUGUUUUCCUCUUUCACUUCCGAUUUUGGAUCAAUGCUAGAGGCUGCAAAACUAACCCAAGGAAGGAAAAAGCCUUUGAUUAGCCAAUCUGAGUGAUAAAGGAAAGUAUUGAGCAGAAAGUGCCGUCAAUGAGCUACUCAAUGCAACAAUUAGAAGGUGAAACUUUUUCUUUUCCUUUCUAAGCAAGACACACCUCUGCUCUGCUGGAAGGAGGUGGGUGGGAGGAAUUUUUCUUGUUCUGGUGCCCAAUUGUCUCCCGGACCUUUUCCAUUUCAAAGAAGAGUGUGACCUAUAAAACCGACCCACUUUCACAUCACCCAAUGUAGGCUAUGAAACUAUCUGACAUUUAAAGGGACACUCCUGGUGUUUUCAGUGACAAGCUUCCUGUGACAAUAAAUUAAUGAAGAGGUGUAGAAAAAUGUUUUCUGUGCAGGUGUGCCUGGAAUAUUUCUCUUUAAAGAAUCUUUCCAAUGCUGCUGGCAAUGUAAAUGGUCAUACAGCUGAAGUUUUGCUCAGAUGGGGAAUCCCACUGUUCUGUGAGCAUGACGUGAGAAUAAAACCCGAGUAGGUUGAUUCAAAGUGCCAACAUGGUAAGUUUGUUUAUUUCUUUCCUGUCUUGAUGGCCAGAUUACUAUUAUAAAACUGAUUAGGUUCUCUCCCCCCCAGAUAGGGUGUUUUCAAGCAUGGGAGCGUCUAAACCAGACAUAUGGUCUGAUUUUGGGGUGGUCCUGUGUGGAGCCGGGAGUUGGAUCCUUACUGGACUCUUCCACGUUGGGAUAUUCUGUGAUUCUGUGUGGUGGUUCAACAGGUGACUCUGAGCUACUCCAUGGAAACCAGUGGCCACGGAAAAGAGAACACAGUUAAUACCCCCUUGGCAUGAAGGUGAAAUUACGUCUGGACUGUGCCUACUCCAAUCCAGGACAGACCCCGAGCUUCUCUUGCUGUGGUUCUGCAGGGACAAAAGGUGCCACCAUAGGCUCUCUCUGAACACAGGUUGGAAAAAUGAGACACCCAAGGCAACCUGGCCUCAGUGACAGUGCCUCUGGACUUCAAGGGAGAGCCCAGGAACAAAUUCUGCAAGGAACUUUCUACAGUUUUCCAAAUCCUCUUCCAAGGAGAUGACAGCUUUGCUUCUCCAGGGUGGAACGACACUGGCCUGAUUGCUCUGGAAAAACUUUCAGCCAAGCCAUUGUAGUGCCAUGGAUGAUUUAUGGUUUCAUGUGGAAAAGACAGAGGAUGCCUGCGUUCCUGUGUCCGUGAGGAGGCCUGCCUCCAUUCGUCACUGGAGCUCACCACUUGGGAGUCUGCUUGGAUGAUUAUCUCCAUCUGACAGUGAGAGGCAUCUGUGCGGAGCCGGUCCUUGGUCCUCCGUAACAACACAGGAUCCCACACAGAGAGGAGGAGGCAAGAGACAACAGCUCCCCACACAAGACCAAUCUGGACUUGUUCCAUGUGGGUGACAAAGCGAAGUCCUCUCCUUGCUUGUCCCUUGCCUUCCUGUGCAGCAGGACUGCCAGAAAUCACAGCGGUGCAGUACUCAGCAGGAUGACAAGGAACCCCCAGUCUGGAAGAGAAGCAGCCCUGAUGUUCCUGUGUUCCUGCUGCUCAGCAAAGUGGUUGUGUAUGGAAUGCAAUCAGCGCUCUGCAGCUGCUCCUACAUUAGUGUGCAUCGGAGGCACUCAAUGGAUGUGUCAUUUUGAUGCCCAAGGAACUCCAGAUGGGCAGUCUGCUGGUUGGAUAUCGCAAAGGAUUUUAAACACAAUUGUCUCUUGAAACCCAUGGAGAGGAGCACUUGCCUUCCAGCUAAUGUCUGCUAUUCCAGUUCCAGCAGAACUCAGAGUAGAUGUUAUUAAAGGCUCAUCUUUUCCUGUUCUCUCUGAUACAUCUGUGCUAUGAUGUUGCCAGUAGAGUCAUCGCUGCAUCUAAAGGUGCUGGCCUAGGGCCAUGAAACUCUACAACACCUCCUCCUGAAGUGGCACAGGUGACUGUGAUGAUAUCAACAGAGGUGACAGGAGCAAAGACCUUUCUUCAUGCAAAUAAUCCAGGCAAUGAAGCAAAACUUUCUACAGCUGGAGAAGAGCUGCCUGAAAGCAGAAUCUUUCGCAAAGUUUUCUGUGAGUCCUCAUCAACUCUGACUGCUGUAGAGAGAACCUCUUUGAGCUGUUCAAUAAAUUGGAUGGUUUAAAUAAUAUAUGGACUGUCUUUCUGGAUUCAUGAGAACUGCUGUGAGAAGCAUUGACUUGUUCAGCCUGCAACAGUCUGCUUUCUUUUGCUUUUAAAAGUUAACUUCACUAGGCAUCAAAAUCUCACAUCUGACUUUGGAAUCUGCUUUGGAAGACUUCUGGUGAGACCUGAGCUGGCUGGUGUGCAUUUCACAGCUCUGUUUUUGUGCUGUCUUGCUUGUGUUUCCAGAUGCACUUUUUCUAAAGGUUAUUUAAAAAAUCUUAUGGCAGAGAAGCGAAAAAGGCGUUUUCCCUACAAAAACAACCCAGUCCACCAAUUUCUUAUUCCUGACCAAGUUCAGAUACCUCUCCAGCCUCCAGACUGUUUACUGAAGUUUAUUGCUAUUUGGACUAAGGUUGUGUAUAAAGUCCAGAGAUCAACAACUCACUGGACCAUAUUCUUCUGUCUUCAUUCCAUGACUCCAUCCAUCUCUGACUACUGAAAGAUGCUUUCAGAGGACUGAUCCAUAGUACCAUCCUGAAGUCUAGUGGGAUGUGUCCAAGAUCAGGAUAAAGAUGUUAUUAGGGACACUCUUUUCUUCAUUUUGACUCUUCAGUAUUACCUCAGUGAGAUCUAUGCUUUUAGCCCUAUCUCCAUAGUUAAGCCAGAGGUGAAUAACUACAGUGAACCUACAACAUCAGAGACAUCGUGGAAGAAGAGCUGUCCAUGCAAGGAUUCAAAGAUGUCUUUACGUAGUGAAAACUGGUAUCAACAACCUGUCUAUUCAUUCAUUACAUAUCAGUGGUGGGAAAUCCAGGACAGAACACAUGAGCUUUUCUCCACUGAACGGAUGGACUUGGGCUUGGCUUUGCUCCCUCAAAGCCCCAUGACUGACUCCCCUGAGAACAUAACUCUGGUUUCUCUGACACCCUGAACAAGAGCAAGAUGUCAGGAUUCUUCCUUUGGGCUGCUGCAUGAGAGGAAUGGACCGGUGACAGUGAUGCUACAUCACCUCUUCUGAAUGCAGGAGCUCAGUUUCACUUUUGGCAGCUCUAGGAUGAACCAGUGGAGUUUCCUUGACUCCAGUGGGGAUCAAUUCCAUUUGGAGCCUGUAGCGACUGAUGUCCAGGAGAGCCCGAGCCACGUGGCAACAGGAAGGUUUGCAUGAUGGCUGAUGGCACAUCCUUCCAAAAGGAACUGGGAAGAAUAAAGAAAGACACUGAGGCCUUGGAAUGUGCCCAGAGAAGGGCAAUGGAGCUGUGAAGAGUCUGGGAUACAAAUCUUGUGGAGAGCGGCUGAGAGAACUGGAAUGAUUCAGUCUGGAGAAGAGGAGGUUCAGGGGAGACCUUAUCCCUUCUACAGUGCUCUGAAAGGAGACUAUGGCAAGAUUCUUCCAGCAGAGACACUGUACAAUCACAGGCAGCUGCAGUGAGGAAAAGGUAAAUGCAAUAGAAAACACAGACUUGGAGGAGCAUCUAUUGUCUCAUCUACAUUAAGUGGUGGUCUUGAAAGAUGAGCCAGCAUGGAGAGAGCUCAGAAAGCGCAAAGUGAGCACAUCUACCAGUGGAUGGUCUGCUCCUGCAGAGGCACACCAGUCAGACGGCGCUGCAUCAGAAUCCAUGGUUUUGGAAAACACAGGGUGUGGCGAAUCCUCCAGCCAAUAUAAUAUUGCUCUACGGCCUAGGCAUUUCAGAAAAGCUCUCCUGGAGAAGAGAUGAACUUAUGGCCUCUUCCAGUAGCGAGGGCAUGAAACUAUAUGCUCCCUGUAUCACAGCAUCUGUAACAUACAGCAAGCAGCAAGGAGGUCCAGACAUGGAGGACGGAAGGUGAAAACAAGCCACCCAACCUGAUAAUGAAAAGCAGGCACUUGGCCUUGGUGAGGAGCAUCUCAGAUAAGUAGUUUAAUUGCCAAGCUCUGAUGCUGGAGGGAGGGAAAUCUAAGCUAAAUUAAAAGAUUAAAAAGAUAUUUUUUCAUCAAGUGGCAAAAUGGAAGAUGUGGACGAGUCUGCUCAGGAGAAAAUGAGCAGAAAGGAACUGUGAAUGUUGUGAAAAUAUAUCCAUUAGACCUGCCUUAUCGAAACGUGCUUUUGCCAAGCAUCCAGCCCUGCAUCGCCAUGGCAACAUGGCCUCAUCAACAGAGAAGAAAGUGUUUUUGUCAGGAUGGGCCCAAACACGUAAAAGCCAUUUCGAUUUGGGGGCAACACGAUCUUCUUCAAUCAAUACAGCACACAUAAUAAUGACUCCUGCCACUUUUUUCAUAAAUCUCCACUUUCUGCUUUCAUUUCCUGUGGUUUGACAUCACUGUGAACUGGAACCAAGUUUAAAUUUCCUACAAUUUUCAGUCCCCUCUGCCCUCAUCUACAACACACCAUGCCUCACGCAGCAGCUUUCUCCUUUGCACAGCACUCGACGCACAACACGCUUACAGGUGGGAUUAGCCCAGCCUGAACUGUGAGAUUGGCUUUUGGGACUCCCCAGUGGCACCUCUACAGAAGCGAAGGCUGAAAGUGCGGUCACAGCUGAGAUGUGAGUUGGCCGAUCAUGGGAUGGAGUAUCCUUUUCUCAAGGAGUUAACCAAGGUUGAUACAGACAGAGGAAAGCUACUUCUCCAGACAGACUGUUGCUGCUUUGGAACGUACACAAGGGUCAGCGAUUUGGAUCCUGCUUGUUCCCCAGGGACCUUUGGGUUGAGAAUGGGAGAAGAUGGCAUUUGGACACCAGUGUGUUUGAUUCCCAGAGAACCCCUAAAUCCAUUUCAGAAGUGCCAUUGUCCUCUAGGGAGUGAUGAAUAAGAAAAGGAAGAGCCAGAAGCAUCCUCAGGUGGUGUGAAGAGUGAAAGUUCCAUCAAGAAGAGGAGAGUCAGGUGCAGACUGAACUGGCCCCUGUCAAUCAUUUGCUCUGGAAACAUUUGGAAACAUGCAUGGGCUGCCACUGAGUACUUUUGCUCUGCUUUAUGGGAUAUUUGCUCCAAGAAGCUCUGGCUUUGCAGGAACUCUUCUGUAACAUGGGAGAGAGGGCAACCAAAUGUCUGACUGGGACAUGGAAGCACCAAACAAGUCUGAAAGAGGCUCUUUUUAGUGUGUUUCUCCCUGAAAACAUGAAGUAUAUAAACCUGGUCAUGCGCUGGCACAGGCUGCCCACGGAGUGGUGGAGUCUGUGUCCCUGGAGGUGCUCAAGAACUGUGAUGAUGUGGCACUGAGGGAUGUAGUUAGUGGGCAUGGUGAUGCUAGGCUUAUGGUUGGACUUAAUGGUCUUAUCCAACCUUAAUGAUUCUAUGAUUCUGUGAAACCUUUUGCGCUCUUGGGUUCGUAUUGAGCUCCAUGCUGUGCAGGGUACCUCUCCUUUCCCCCACCCCCAGGCACAGCACCAUUUGCUUGUGAUGGGAUGGUUUCCUAGGAUGGUGGCUUUGUCCCACUGCCCUUUCUGACAAAAGCAGUGCCUGACAGGCCUUCAUAACAAGCCCUUCCUAAAUUAUCACAAAGGCACCCACAACAGAUUUAACAAAUCAUUGUCCUUCCCUACAGUAAUCAUAAAAAAAAUCCCUGAGGGCUGUUCUAUAAUCCACUGGACUCAGAGUCUCCACUAGAGGUGAUAAAGGCAUGUUCAACCACUCGCUCUCGCAAAAGAGACCCACAACCUCUUUGUUAGCCGGAGAAAAGACUAACUUUCACUCCCGGGGACUGAAGACUGUAGAGAUGGCAGGAAACAGCCUCCCCUUGUGCCUUCCCAUAGAGCCAAACACCGCGCACUGCACGGCUGCUUUGAUCGAGGAUGCUGAUGUUUCUCUGCUGGAAUGGUGGCCCUUCUUCCCAGGAAAUGCGAGCAGCGCUGCUGGAGCGGCAGCUUUGAUUUUCAUUGCCUGUCUGGUUCAUUACCGAUCGGGUAAUGACUGACAAUAGGCCAAUCAGAUCUCCAAUAUCACCAUGUCAGCUUCAUAAUUAAUACUACUGCAAACUAAGCUUAUUGUGAUUUAAUUAGUAAUGCUGUAAUAAUGCUACCGCCUGGGCUUAAGGUUACUAAUUUAUAUAAAUAGCUAUGUUAAUGUCUUGAAGCACCAAGUAUUAAUUGCAUCAGUUUCGGUGUUAGACUCUGGUUGGCUUGUGGCAGAUGAAAAACUCAACAACUUUUAGUGUUGUGGGGGAAAACGUGUUUUUUGAUCUUUUGCCUGUUGUUUUUAACUAGGCAAGAAGCAGUCACAGACAAGGCUGGAGGGAUUUGGAUAAUAUGGGCCAGGGAGCAGUAUUUGAGAUUCAAAUCCCUUUUUGCUUGGAUCUGUUAUUUUUUCUUUUUCCUUUCCACUACUAGCAUCUCUCCCCCCCUACCCCCCACCCUUUCCUCUCCUCCCUCCUUCCUCUUAAAUAUAUAAAUAAAUCUGAGCUGCUUGCAUCGACAGUUCCAAUUUGCCACAAUUGGAAGUUGCACACAUGAGAGAUCUCUGUGCAGCCAGCUCGCAUUUUAUUUUCAAAUCUAGAAUUAAAAGGAAAGAAGGGGAAAAAAAAGAAGAGGGCCAUGGGAGCACGAGGAGGAUUUGCAUACAUCAGAGCUCUACAUGAGCUAGGGCCUAAGCUCUUUCUAUGGGCUUGAAUAAACUACUAGAGGGAAAAUGGAACAAGAAAAAAGGAAAAUGGAGUGGCAAAAAUUCCUGACCCUUUCUCUGGGAUUGAUGGGGGCUCAUCUUCCUGUGAUGGGGAUGGGGUUGGUGGUAGAUCCCUGUGUUGAACUAGCAAGGAGUGUCUGAGACAAAGGGAAGAAUUAGGUAAACCAGUGCUAGAGCAGAAUUGAGUCCCAUACUGGCAUCCACUGGACUUAUGUUAGACUCACACACACUAAAGAUGGAGGAAGGCAUGGCACCAGAGGAGAUGGAUCUAUUUAGGUAUUUAAACUAGCAUUCUUACCCCAGUUCUCAGUCCUUUUCCCCAAACUACUUCUUAGACUUGUACACUCAUUUUUCUUAUAGACAACAAAUAUGCCCACAAGCAAGGGCAGAUUCUGCUCAGGUUUACAAGGAAUUACAAAUAUGUGUGUUUUCCCUUUCCCCAGUCUUCCUCAUGAACUAAACAACUGUCUUCAUACUGGAUCAGGGCUGGAUGCUCCAAGAAGGGCUUCUGCUGGUGUUCUGCACACGAGUUGGAGUGGACUGGAGACAAGCCACUGCCAGAUGUCUCUGCCAGGUGUCAAAAGACAGAUGAGAGAAAUACCACUCUGAUAUUGACUGCCAUGGCAGGUGCAAUAGUUGUUCAACAAGUUCUCUUCGACAGUCCCGAGAAGUUGCAGACCCGUGGUCUCAUAGAAUUUUCCCCACUCUUUCACUGAUGAGCGAGCGAUCAUCAGGACCACAACCAGCAAUGACCAAGCAGUUCUCUGCAAGAUGUGGUUUUUUUUUUUCCCCAGGCUUUCAGGCUGGCACAGUUAUCACCAAAGAUGGUUACCCGUUCCUCUUUUUUGCAAAAGUAGUGACGGAGAGGCUGAAAAAUCCAGGAACUGGCAGACAAGCAUAAAAAUAUCGCAAAUCCAGCUGCUAAAUAGUCUGAGGUAACUGGAAUGAACUGCUCUUCCAAUCAUGCUCCAGCUAUGACUGUACUCUAAGAAGCAGAGUCUGUGAUAAAUAUAACUUGGCUGAAUGCAAGAAUUUAGAUCGUGCAUUAGAUAUUGAAUUCAUUACCUCUACAUGUGUCUAUAUCCAGAGGCUGUAUGUGCCCUUAUCUCAUCUAUAUCCAAAAUGCUCUUAAUUUCAUUGAUGCUGACACUUAACUCUUGAAAUACUUCUCGGUUUUUUUUUAAGAAGCUCCACUAGCAAGCCAAGCCAUCCAGGAGCAUCACAAAGAUGUGACAGUGUUAGGAAUAGGAUCCCCUUUGGGGAAAAUCAGCUUGCAUAAAAUCAUAAAAUAUAGAUUUCUUCAUUUUUAAUGUUUCUUUUUUUCCUUCUUGUUUCUUUCCCCUUGCAAAAUUCAGGCCAGCUGUUGGGAUUGACAGUAAUGACUCCCAGUGAGCUGGACUUUAAUCAGCUCAGCUGGAAUACAGUGAAGGACUUUUGGAAAUCUAAGCUACUCCAGCAAAAUGGAUUUAUCUUCUCAAUUAGUCACAGAUGCUAGUGGGAUCCACCAGGUGUGCUACCGAACAGACCCAUGUGGCAUAGCUUGUAGAAAUCUUCCAUUGCUGCAGCCCAUUCAUGACUUCUCUCUGUGCCUGCAGAAAUAUGUAGCCAGAAAUGACGAAAAAUCCACCUAUUUCAAAGUUGUCAGUGAAGUGAGUGAUUAGAUUUCUUUUUCCUAGUUCAUGCUGGUCAGGACUUGAAAUCCCCAUCUGUGUGAGCAGGUCAUCAAACGUCUUGGCCAACAAGACCAACUCAGCACUUUGUACUGACCUUCAUUAUCCAGAUUAGAAAGGGAACUAGCACACCAUAUGCCAGACAUAAAAGUCUCCAGCAAUUCUCUUUUCAGCACGACACUCCUGGGUUUGGAUCCCAGCCAGUUUGUGCUCUUUGAAACUUAUAAAUUGCUUUCAUCUCCCAGACAAGGUAAAAUCAAAUUGGUGUAAGGGAUGUCACAUUGCUGAUGAAGAUGCAGAAGCAAAGUUAACUCUAACAUGGGCUUAGCACACUGUAUGAAAAAUAUCUUAAUAGGCACGGCUGCUUCUUUUGGUUGGCCUUGGAAAAAGAGAAAAAAAUACAGUGUUUCUGAAAGCUGCAAUAAUAUUAAAUGAAACAGUUUCUUUCCUCAUUCAGAUUCAGAGUCUGAGUUCUGCAGCUUUUCCUACCAUGCCCAUGAAUGGUGAGGUAUGAAUUAGGACACACAGAAGUUUAUAAAUGGUAGUGUUCUGCUGAGCUAUGCACGUGUCUUAGAGUCUUUUCCUUUUUAUGUAUUUAUGGUCACUAAUCUCUCCCUGGCUACAAUCCCUACUCAAUCCUCUGUCCAUACAGGAUUCAUUUUAUCAGGUUUUUCCAUCUGUAGCUGUAACGAUAAUUGACUGUUAACAAGUCUGUUGGCUCUGGAAUGCAGCCCUUGAAAGGAGUGUUCCUCACCCAGAGAGCGGGAUGAGAUAGCUGAAAGCAGUUGGACUUGCUUUCCUCAUUAUACUCUCAGCAGACUGAAUGGGAGUGUUUUCUCCAUCCCUAAUUUUUGUGAUACAGUAGUGCUCACCAUGUUUCCCUCCUGCUUUUCCCACACCUUCCUCAAGGUCCUACAGUGCUCCUCCAAGCUGUUUCCACUUCCACUACAAUCUAAAUAUCCCAAAGGAUGUCUCACCAACCUCAUCUCUCCCCUUCCUCCGUCCUACCCUGUUUUAUGCAGUACCCAUAUAACUGAUGGCUGAUAUCAUGCAGGGUGGUACCAUGCACAGAGCAUUUUUGUGCCCGUGGUGUCCAUCCCUGUUGCUCUGUGAAAGCUGAGCACUUAUGGGGUGCUUCCUUCAGCAGGGGACUGUGGUUUCUCUCCUCGAUAUAGGCACUGACACUUGUAAAUCCUGCAGGAACUUUGUACUACUCAGACUCUCAGCUGUCUGUCAAACUCGAUUGAAAUUGGCCGACUGGUUCUAAAGUUAUUAGAGAGGAACUGACAGACAGAAUGAUUGGAGAGGAAAUCAGGCUAAAAAUAUUAACAUCCUGAGAUAGCAACUUUGUUCUUUCAGGAUUAUCAGCAUAAAAUAUAUGUACACUGCUUAGCACAGGCUUCUUCCUACCUUUCCACUGCUGCUUUUCUGUCCCUUGUACUGCUCUAUGUAUAGAGGCUUGGAGGCUUCCUUUGCCUAGCUCCAGAAAUUCAGCAAGCUACACAAAGCAGAGGGAGGGAACUGUGUUUUCUGUUUCAGAAAGAAUGGGAAAUGACUGGGUUGUCCUAGCGCUUACAUCAUGGGCAUUUUCUUGCAUGUUCCCUGUGGGGAAUGGCAAUUCACAUUGCCCAGUGAAACCGAAGAAAAAGUCUCUCCCCCCACACAACCCAACUUGCAGUGAGCCUUUAUUCCAUGAGACUGGAAGAGAUCCAAACCAGUUCCCACUAUUGUGGCACCUAAUCUGGACCAGUGGCUAACUGGAGAGGUCUAAGGGUGGACUGUUACACAAGGGUGGGGAGCCAAGAGGGUAGGACUGUGUGCUCUCCAGUGUCCCUGGUCACAUCGUUUGAGGCACAGGGGACACCAGGAGAGGGGGGGACAGAGGGGACAGGCCAUGCAUGGCACCCUUCCCUCCAUCAGGGAAGGCACUGAGGCAGGAGAGCAUGGGGAGGGCAGCAGGGACAGCAAGAAGAGUAAAGGUGGGGGGAACAGAGAGCAUGUAGAGAAAGAAAUGCUGUAAAAGCAGAAAGUUCCUCUUCAUAUUGGCACAGCAAUGUUUGCAGCAUGGCUUAGCAUGCCUCUUCCUGUUAAAUAAAUAUUGUGACAGUUCUAAUCCUAGUGAGCAGGGACGUAACCAGAACUUGGAUUUUCACUGAGGGCAAACAGUAAUGGGUACACUUAAAGUAUUUCAAAUAAGGCUCUAAUUUAGAUCCAUGAAGACAGUGCUGUUUGUUAAAUAAAUAUCAAGCUCAUCUGGUACCAGGCCAGUUGUUGUGGCUAAGGAAGAUAUAUCUAGCUAGUGGCUAUUUAAGCUAGAUGAUGAGUGAACAAGCCCAUGCAGACUGCAAAGUGCAAAACUGAAAAACUGGCAGAAAGACAGAAAGAGUGGGAGAGAAAGAAAGAAAGAGAAAAAGAGAAAGAAAAAAGAGUGAAGGGAAAGAAAGAAAAAGAGAGAAAGAGAAACCUCUUUACCUUUUUUAUAUGCCCUCUUUAGGAACUUUGAAAGCUAUCAAAGGAGACAGCUCCAGCCUGGCAAGGGAAUUAGAUAUCAUUUAAUUGCUAAAAAGAAAAUGACAAAUGCUGGUUCAUAACUAACAUGCUACAACAAUUUUAUGAAAUGUUAAUUGGAAUACCUUACACUUCCCAUAUACCUUUAAUGAAUUAAUGGGGAUGCCACUCUCUAUUUAUAGACCAGUUAAGCUCCUCAGCAACUCCAUUUACUUCUUGUAUAUGUUAUUAAACCUCAGGUGGCAGUUACAUAAUCAAUAUGCUGUCCUUUAAUAAACCUAAAUGAAGAAAAUCCUGGAGUCCUUCGAAAAAGCACAGAGUAGCUCAUGAAGAGUCUGUUACUUUUCUCUGUGAAACUCCUCAACAUUUUCCUGCAUGCAACCUCAGUACUUUAGAUGUUAAGGUUUGGUAUUUUGUUUUGCUCUGCUUUUUGCUUGUUUGUUUUUUAAUAUGGAAAGCUUGGAAGGGAUAAGAUCUAUUAUAGGGAAGUAUCUUAAAAAAUCCACAUGAUUUGACUUCAUAAAAAUGUGUAUUUGUAUCACAUGGCACAGUGUAUUACUUCCAGACUGCAACUGGUUCCAUAGGAUUUUCAUACUGGUGACAGAGUUGGGCAAGCUUGUUUCUAAUCAGGCUUUGAUGUUUCUGGGGAAAUCUUUGAAGACACGACUUAGGAGCCCAGUGGAAUGUAACACCAGCUUUAUGUUGCCUUAAAAAUAAAAUAUUGACUUUAAGAUCAAGAAAACUGUAAGAGAUUUGGUUCAUAUAUAUUACAGGAUUAAAUGUCCUUGGCUACCUAUAUGGAGAAA